RNAcentral lists this non-coding RNA (76 nucleotides) under unclassified sequences. The record is from RNAcentral.
CGAGAAAUGCCGCCGGGUAUGCUUUUUGCUCAUUCCGUUAGGCCUUAGAAGGAAUGUGGCAGGAGGCGUUUUUUUA